This 109-nucleotide small RNA is filed under the name Marmota monax (woodchuck). Lineage: Eukaryota; Metazoa; Chordata; Mammalia; Rodentia; Sciuridae. The record is from RNAcentral.
GCCAGGCAUGGUGGCCCAUGCCUGUAAUCUCAACUACUCAAGAGGCUGAGGCAGGAGGAUUUCAAGUUUGAGGCCAGCUUGGGCAACUCAGUGAGACACCCUGCCUCAA